RNAcentral lists this ribosomal RNA (305 nucleotides) under uncultured bacterium. Its description in RNAcentral is "bacterial SSU rRNA". It matches the Rfam family "Bacterial small subunit ribosomal RNA", at positions 338 to 660 of the family's 1533-position model. The record is from RNAcentral.
CCUACGGGGCGCAGCAGUGGGGGAUAUUGCACAAUGGGGGAAACCCUGAUGCAGCGACGCCGCGUGGGUGAAGAAGCGCCUCGGCGCGUAAAGCCCUGUCAGCAGGGAAGAAAAUGACGGUACCUGAAGAAGAAGCCCCGGCUAACUACGUGCCAGCAGCCGCGGUAAUACGUAGGGAGCGAGCGUUGUCCGGAUUUACUGGGUGUAAAGGGUGCGUAGGCGGCCCUGCAAGUCAGAAGUGAAAUCCAUGGGCUUAACCCGUGAACUGCUUUUGAAACUGCAGGACUUGAGUGGAGUAGAGGUAG